Molecule: unclassified non-coding RNA, 343 nt
Filed under: soil metagenome
Description: partial contains 5.8S ribosomal RNA, internal transcribed spacer 2, and large subunit ribosomal RNA
Rfam family: 5.8S ribosomal RNA (bases 1-119)
Source: RNAcentral
GAUGAAGAACGCAGCGAAAUGCGAUACGUAAUGUGAAUUGCAAAUUCAGUGAAUCAUCGAGUCUUUGAACGCACAUUGCGCCCCCUGGUAUUCCGGGGGGCAUGCCUGUCCGAGCGUCAUUGCUGCCCUCAAGCACGGCUUGUGUGUUGGGCCCCGUCCUCCGAUCCCGGGGGACGGGCCCGAAAGGCAGCGGCGGCACCGCGUCCGGUCCUCGAGCGUAUGGGGCUUUGUCACCCGCUCUGUAGGCCCGGCCGGCGCUUGCCGAUCAACCCAAAUUUUUAUCCAGGUUGACCUCGGAUCAGGUAGGGAUACCCGCUGAACUUAAGCAUAUCAAAGCGGAGGA